AUACGGAGGGUGCAAGCGUUAAUCGGAAUUACUGGGCGUAAAGCGUACGUAGGCGGUUAUUUAAGUCAGAUGGGAAAGCCCCGGGCUUAACUUGGGAACUGCAUUUGAAACUGGGUAACUAGAGUUUAGUAGAGGGGAGUGGAAUUUCAGGUGUAGCGGUGAAAUGCGUAGAGAUCUGAAGGAACACCAGUGGCGAAGGCGACUCCCUGGACUAAAACUGACGCUGAGGUACGAAAGCGUGGGUAGCAAACAGGAUUAGAAACCCCGGUAGUCC
Molecule: ribosomal RNA, 274 nt
Filed under: uncultured bacterium
Lineage: Bacteria
Description: partial 16S ribosomal RNA
Rfam family: Bacterial small subunit ribosomal RNA
Source: RNAcentral